UGCGCCUACGGGGCGCAGCAGUGGGGAAUAUUGCACAAUGGGGGAAACCCUGAUGCAGCGACGCCGCGUGAGUGAAGAAGUAAUUCGUUAUGUAAAGCUCUAUCAGCAGGGAAGAAAGUGACGGUACCUGAAGAAGAAGCUCCGGCUAAAUACGUGCCAGCAGCCGCGGUAAUACGUAUGGAGCAAGCGUUAUCCGGAUUUACUGGGUGUAAAGGGAGAGUAGGUGGCAGAGCAAGUCCGAAGUGAAAACCCAAAGCUCAACUAUGGGAAUGCUUUAGAAACUGCUCAGCUAGAGUGCAGGAGAG
This 305-nucleotide ribosomal RNA is filed under the name uncultured bacterium. Its description in RNAcentral is "bacterial SSU rRNA". It matches the Rfam family "Bacterial small subunit ribosomal RNA", at positions 335 to 656 of the family's 1533-position model. The record is from RNAcentral.